AUUACAAAAUUGGUAUGUGGCUGAAAAACUCAUAGAUUGUGUGUUGUCAUCAGCUUCUUCUCUUGCAUAUAUUGCGAGAUUGGAGUUAAAUCACAAUACUACAUUU
This is a small nucleolar RNA of Telopea speciosissima, 106 nucleotides long. RefSeq annotates it as small nucleolar RNA snoR97. Lineage: Eukaryota; Viridiplantae; Streptophyta; Magnoliopsida; Proteales; Proteaceae. The record is from RefSeq and is a predicted model, not a curated record. The transcript has a single exon.